ACCACCACCCGCAAUGGCUGACACGCGUUCUGGACGUUGUCAUGGUCCUGCAAGAGCGUCCUUCGGCUUCCCCACUUUGGAAUCAGAAAACUAUUCGGUGGAAAGCAUUUGCUUUAUCUGUGAACUUCCCGCCUAAAACUGCUUGAACGUAAAAUGGGUUUUAAAGCAUGGUCAACGUACAUGUAUAAGCUCAUGAGUGAAUGGUUGCUCAGUUCUUCAUACAAGAGUUAUUAUUCCUGAGGUUCAGGUCAAUCUCCUCAUAAAUCAUCAUUGUCAUUGGCUGGAAUGGUGGAUUGAGAUCUUCUACCACCCUUGUGUUUCAUGUUACUGUCAACUGUACAAGGCCGGCCCAGCAGACUAUUGAAGACGCCCAACAUAAGCACUGUAGCAGGGAAUGUGUUGAAAAUUUACGAGGUUAAACGGAAACCCAUGUUGGUAACAGUCCUUUGACAUUCUCAGCACACAACAUGACAAAUCAGCAGUUCGACCGUUGUAGAUUUCCUAGGGAUAGUAGAGGUAUGUUGAGGAUUGUGAAAAAAGAAAAUUUUGGUACACAAGUGUAGAACUAGUGUUAUAAAACGUUUGGGGGAAAAGUUGCUGGAACUAUUUUCUCGCCCCGCCAUUUUGAGGGAAAAAUGGCCGAACUCUUGCCGUCAACCAAUAAAUUUUGAGGAGAGCAGGCUGAUUAGAGGAAGGAUUUGGAGUCGCUCAUUUCAGUGGUCAGCGGGUGUAAGUUAGAACUAAGGUAAAGAACAUUGUUGAAGAAGAAAGCACGGAUAUCUAAAUCUAGCUCGUAUAUGGUUGUCAUUUACUGUGGGGUGAGAUGGAUCAUGUUGCCAAUUGAAAUGUUGUCAAUGUUGCUGUUGCAUUGGACAAACGGGUGUGUUUAACAAAUGGAUGUGAAAGUUACACAAGCCAUAAUGGUAUUCAUGUAAAAGACUUAACAGCCAUGAAGAUGACAACUCAAAUAAACCUGUUGGACUGAAGGUGGUUGGUGAAGAAAAAAGGUCUUGUUCCAUUUCCAUACCAUCUUCUAAAAAAAACGAUUAAACAAAAGCACGUACGUCUAUUUUCUUUCAACGGCCGUCCUAGCAGGUCUGUUGUUGAGUUCAACGUCGUGAAAUUCAUCUUUGUCGGAUGCCCGUCAGCAGUACUGAGCUGCUCCUUUUUAAAAUGUUUUGUUGCAUUCAUUGCCCAUAGGUGCAAUUACCACGUACAUGAAGCUUUCUGCCAAACGCGAUCGUCCAUACUUCCUGUAAAUGGAGGCUACUAGUGCGUGGGUUGACUGAGUAUAUAGCACGUAGUGGCAUUUAGGCAAGUCCUGAAAAAAUAUGGGUUGCUCUGGUUAACGCUCGAAUGAUUUAAGAAAAGUAAUGGAUGGUGAGUGAAUGUGGCGACGCAGUUGUUCGCUGUAAAUUUCCAUGAACAUAUAUAUAUAUAUCUAUAUAUGUAUAUAAAGUAUAUUAAAUGGUUUGGUUUUCAUCGUCUUUUUAAAAUGGCAGCACCUGCUGUGUGUUAUUUCUAACAAGGUUACGACAUAUUUCCACAUAGCUUGCCAUUUACGCAGUUAUUUGUUAAACAAGAGUUGAAACAGAAAUUUUGAAAAGUAGAAAGUGAAAGAAUUUUAAGAAAGUGGAACAGUAUAUUGUUUUAUGGUAGCUGUUAUGUUUAUUGCAGCAAGCUCGCAAUGCAAGGGCAACCAAAACUUGGCAUUGACAGCUUACAGAUUAAAAAAAAAUAACAAAUUAAUGAAUUCUUGAUCUAAACAAUACAAUUAAUAUUUAUUUCA
Molecule: long non-coding RNA, 1789 nt
Organism: Daphnia carinata
Lineage: Eukaryota; Metazoa; Arthropoda; Branchiopoda; Diplostraca; Daphniidae
Exons: 7
Source: RefSeq, a predicted model, not a curated record